Molecule: ribosomal RNA, 250 nt
Filed under: uncultured bacterium
Lineage: Bacteria
Description: partial 16S ribosomal RNA
Rfam family: Bacterial small subunit ribosomal RNA
Source: RNAcentral
UACGUAGGGGGCGAGCGUUGUCCGAAUUCACUGGGCGUAAAGCGCGCGUAGGCGGGUUAUUAAGUUGGUGGUGAAAUCCCGAGGCUCAACCUCGGAACUGCCGUCAAAACUGAUAGCCUUGAGGUUUGGAGAGGGAACUGGAAUUCCAGGUGUAGCGGUGAAAUGCGUAGAUAUCUGGAGGAACACCCAUGGCGAAGGCAGGUUCCUGGCCAUAUCCUGACGCUGAGGUGCGAAAGCUAGGGUAGCGAAC